This 73-nucleotide transfer RNA is filed under the name Camelus bactrianus (Bactrian camel). It matches the Rfam family "tRNA". Rfam says of the family: Transfer RNA (tRNA) molecules are approximately 80 nucleotides in length. Their secondary structure includes four short double-helical elements and three loops (D, anti-codon, and T loops). Lineage: Eukaryota; Metazoa; Chordata; Mammalia; Artiodactyla; Camelidae. RNAcentral also lists the same sequence under 2 other names. The record is from Rfam by way of RNAcentral.
GAGGGUAUAGCUCAAGUGGUAGAGCACAUGCUUAGCAUGCAUGAGGUCCUGGAUUCAAUCCCCAGUACCUCCC